UCAUGACAGACUGCUCAAGACGAAAGCAGAAAGCGUUUGUUCAAGUCAGCUGUGAAAUUACUACAAUUAACACUUACCGCCAUUACCACAGUAACAUCAAUGCUGAGCUGACAUCGCCAAGGUGACAAAGCAAAUUUCCUUGCCACUCAAGUAAUCAAGUUCAAGUUGUUCUCAGCGUUUUGAAGCUCGCUGUUGUGAAAAGGUGACCAAUUGUGAAAGUUAAGGAUGAAGUUUGCGAUUUUCGAUUUUGGAGACAAUACUUUUGAUAUUGGACAAACAUCAUGGAUACAAGAUAAAAAUUCUACAACAUUUGACAACGAAUCCUGGCUCUUUACCCACGAAAUGAUUGUCAAGUGGCCCAUAGACUUCAAUGCAGCGAAACGAAAAAUGCGAAAAAAAAUUGAUGUAGAUACAAUCAAAACGAAAGAUAUCCAGCAAGAAUUUUAAAAUUUGGAGAUGACUUUGCCUCCAUGGAUUCAUGCUUAGAGAUGUAUCUGAAAAGUGGGAAAACUUCAACUCCUAAAAGAGGAAAAGGUCAAAGAAUCUCACAAAAGAAUUAUAAAUACCAUUCCGACUCCGAUAAGGAGGAUUAUGAAGUCCAGUUUGGUUCACAUUUAAGUAAAAAACCCCCUUUAAAGAGAAGAAAAGUCCAGAAAGAUAGUUCAAAGAAAAACUCCUUAUAUUCCAUGGUUAAAGAAAAAUAUAAACAAACAGAGUUUGAAACAGUGCAAAAUGAAGAAGACAACUUAAACGAGAAUCGUUCUUUAAGU
This is a long non-coding RNA of Xenia sp. Carnegie-2017, 770 nucleotides long. RefSeq lists it as uncharacterized. The record is from RefSeq and is a predicted model, not a curated record. The transcript is spliced from 4 exons. NCBI's taxonomy places the organism in Eukaryota, Metazoa, Cnidaria, Anthozoa, Malacalcyonacea, Xeniidae.